Molecule: microRNA precursor, 78 nt
Filed under: Haemonchus placei
Lineage: Eukaryota; Metazoa; Nematoda; Chromadorea; Rhabditida; Trichostrongylidae
Description: mir-5890 microRNA precursor family
Rfam family: mir-5890 microRNA precursor family
Source: Rfam by way of RNAcentral
UUUACGUGGCAGCAUAGGACUGAAUUGUGGGAGGACUUAUAUGAUUCUACCCCUUUUCAUUUUCAUGCUGUUUUGGUA